This 279-nucleotide unclassified non-coding RNA is filed under the name Hevea brasiliensis (rubber tree). Lineage: Eukaryota; Viridiplantae; Streptophyta; Magnoliopsida; Malpighiales; Euphorbiaceae. The record is from RNAcentral.
AGGUCUAUGCAGCUUUAGUUUUCACAUGCAUUUCUACUGUUGUAGUUUUCCAUGUUUGAGGGUUAUACUUUUUGUUGCUUUCUUCUUUCUAGUUUGAUGAUUGAUUGUGUAUAAUUGUGACUUUAGAGAUUCUACAUUUAUAUUUAUUGCUGUCUUCUAUUUAUCAUGCAUAAUUCUGCAGUCAUUUUGAUAUAUAGUGUUUACUUAUCAACUUAGGCCAUUAUCCCUUAUUUAUACUUAUACCAGCGUUUAUACGUUUAUACUAGUGUUUAGAGGUUG